RNAcentral lists this ribosomal RNA (465 nucleotides) under uncultured bacterium. RNAcentral's name for it is "partial 16S ribosomal RNA". It matches the Rfam family "Bacterial small subunit ribosomal RNA", at positions 338 to 795 of the family's 1533-position model. The record is from RNAcentral.
CCUACGGGGGGCAGCAGUGGGGAAUUUUGGACAAUGGGCGCAAGCCUGAUCCAGCUAUUCCGCGUGUGGGAUGACGGCCCUCGGGUUGUAAACCACUUUAGUAGAGAACGAAAAGGAGCUAUCGAAUAAAUAGCUCUGCUGACGGUACUCUAAGAAUAAGCACCGGCUAACUACGUGCCAGCAGCCGCGGUAAUACGUAGGGUGCGAGCGUUAAUCGGAAUUACUUGGCGUAAAGGGUGUGCAGGCGGCUGAGUCAGACUGAUGUGAAAUCCCCGGGCUUAACCUGGGAGCGGCAUAGGAGACUGGGUGGCUAGAGUGCGUAAGAGGGGAGUGGAAUUCCACGUGUAGCGGUGAAAUGCGUAGAUAUGUGGAAGAACACCGAUGGCGAAGGCAGCCUCCUGGGACGCAACUGACGCUCAUGCACGAAAGCGUGGGGAGCAAACAGGAUUAGAUACCCCAGUAGUC